RNAcentral lists this ribosomal RNA (255 nucleotides) under uncultured bacterium. RNAcentral's name for it is "partial 16S ribosomal RNA". It matches the Rfam family "Bacterial small subunit ribosomal RNA", at positions 524 to 776 of the family's 1533-position model. The record is from RNAcentral.
UACGUAGGGUGCAAGCAUUAUCCGGAGUGACUGGGCGUAAAGAGUUGCGUAGGUGGUUUAAUAAGUGAAUAGUGAAACCUGGUGGCUCAACCAUACAGACUAUUAUUCAAACUGUUAAACUCGAGAGUAGCAGAGGUAACUGGAAUUUCUUGUGUAGGAGUGAAAUCCGUAGAUAUAAGAAGGAACACCAAUGGCGUAGGCAGGUUACUGGGCUAUUUCUGACACUAAGGCACGAAGGCGUGGGGAGCGAACCGG